RNAcentral lists this ribosomal RNA (732 nucleotides) under uncultured eukaryote. RNAcentral describes it as "bacterial SSU rRNA". It matches the Rfam family "Eukaryotic small subunit ribosomal RNA", at positions 670 to 1361 of the family's 1831-position model. The record is from RNAcentral.
CGCGUGUACUGGUCCGGCCGGGCCUUUCCUUCUGGAGAGCCCCAUGCCCUUCACUGGGCGUGCGGGGGAACCAGGACUUUUACUUUGAAAAAAUUAGAGUGUUCAAAGCAGGCCUUUGCUCGAAUACGUUAGCAUGGGAUAAUAGAAUAGGACAUCGCUCUUUAUUUUUGUUGGUUUCUAAGAGCGGCGUAAUGAUUAAUAGAGAUAGUUGGGGGUAUUCAUAUUUAAUUGUCAGAGGUGAAAUUCUUGGAUUUAUGAAAGAUGAACUCCUGCGAAAGCAUUUAUCAAGGAUGUUUUCAUUAAUCAAGAACGAAAGUUAGGGGAUCGAAGACGAUCAGAUACCGUCGUAGUCUUAACCAUAAACUUUGCCGACCAGAGAUCAGGAGACGUUACAUGGAUGACUCCCCUGGCAUCUUGCGAGAAAUCACAAGUCUUUGGGUUCUGGGGGGAGUAUGGUCGCAAGGCUGAAACUUAAAGGAAUUGACGGAAGGGCACCACCAGGAGUGGAGCCUGCGGCUUAAUUUGACUCAACACGGGGAAACUUACCAGGUCCAGACAUAGUAAGGAUUGACAGAUUGAGAGCUCUUUCUUGAUUCUAUGGGUGGUGGUGCAUGGCCGUUCUUAGUUGGUGGAGUGAUUUGUCUGGUGAAAGGAAUUUGCCAGUAAAAGAUGCACUUGUGUGGGUAUAGAUGUUCACACAGGUUACUAGCAUCUAGUCUACACUCUUUGCUA